This 253-nucleotide ribosomal RNA is filed under the name uncultured prokaryote. RNAcentral's name for it is "partial 16S ribosomal RNA". It matches the Rfam family "Bacterial small subunit ribosomal RNA", at positions 525 to 777 of the family's 1533-position model. The record is from RNAcentral.
ACGAAGGGUGCAAACGUUGCUCGGAAUCAUUGGGCGUAAAGCGCACGUAGGCGGCUUCGCAAGUCGGAUGUGAAAUCCCUCGGCUCAACCGAGGACGUGCAUACGAAACUGCGAAGCUUGAGUACUGAAGAGGAUCGCGGAAUUCCCGGUGUAGAGGUGAAAUUCGUAGAUAUCGGGAGGAACAUCUGUGGCGAAGGCGACUGCCUGGACCAGCACUGACACUGAGGCACGAAAGCGUGGGGAGCAAACAGGA